AUAUUUUCAAGCUGCCAAGGGGGCAGUUCUAGGAACAAGAUCUCAUUUUCCUGAAAAUCUAGAAAUUGCCCUUCUGAUAUGUCUAUUGAAAUCACUCUAGGGCUACACUUUUGGAGACAAGAAAAGAAAGAUGCCACAUUUUAAAUCAAAACAUCCUGGGAGUGCCUAGAAGAGCUAGAAGAGUAUAAGGAAGCCUGUGGGCUGCUUUCAAAGAUGAGAAAGACAAUAGCAUAAAAGAGGCCAUUCAUCCUACUUGAGCUUUAAUCAAGAAACAGAAUGAAAGGAAAUAAAACCUGGGCGGUGGAACAACAAAAGACCAUCAUUACCAUUACCGAGGAAUCUCAAACACUAUGGCAAGAUGAAAACAACCUUCCUGCUAAAGCUGUUAACUGUUAUAGAAAAUCCCUACUUCCUAACAAUGAGCUGCCAGAACGACAAUUUCUGCCACAGCACUAAGUCAACAUCAUUAGAAAUGCAAAAGGGGGAAAAUGGUAAUCUGGUGUAUUUAGUAAAAGGCCACAUUACUGUGAUAAUACUCACAAAUAACUAUGUAAAAAACAAGCUAUUUAGAAGAUAA
This 577-nucleotide long non-coding RNA is filed under the name Monodelphis domestica (gray short-tailed opossum). Its description in RNAcentral is "lncRNA (ENSMODG00000035786.2)". Lineage: Eukaryota; Metazoa; Chordata; Mammalia; Didelphimorphia; Didelphidae. The record is from RNAcentral.